UACAGAGGUCUCAAGCGUUGUUCGGAUUCAUUGGGCGUAAAGGGUGCGUAGGUGGCGUGGUAAGUCGGGUGUGAAAUUUCGGAGCUUAACUCCGAAACUGCAUUCGAUACUGCCGUGCUUGAGGACUGGAGAGGAGACUGGAAUUUACGGUGUAGCAGUGAAAUGCGUAGAGAUCGUAAGGAAGACCAGUGGCGAAGGCGGGUCUCUGGAUAGUUCCUGACACUGAGGCACGAAGGCCAGGGGAGCAAACGGG
RNAcentral lists this ribosomal RNA (253 nucleotides) under uncultured bacterium. RNAcentral's name for it is "partial 16S ribosomal RNA". It matches the Rfam family "Bacterial small subunit ribosomal RNA", at positions 524 to 776 of the family's 1533-position model. The record is from RNAcentral.